CAACAGCUAGAGUUUGAUCCUGGCUCAGAACGAACGCUGGCGGCAUGGAUUAGGCAUGCAAGUUGAACGAACUCCUUCGGGAGUGAGUAGCGGAAGGGUGAGGAACGCGUGAGUAAUCUGCCCCCCAGUUGGGAAUAACAGUUGGAAACGACUGCUAAUACCGAAUGUGGUUUAAGCUUCGCCUGGAGCUUUGGCUAAAGAUUUAUCGCUGGGGGAUGAGCUCGCGUCCCAUUAGGUAGUUGGUGAGGUAACGGCUCACCAAGCCGACGAUGGGUAGCUGGUCUGAGAGGAUGGUCAGCCACACUGGGACUGAGACACUGCCCAGACUCCUACGGGAGGCUGCAGUCGAGAAUCUUGGGCAAUGCGCGAAAGCGUGACCCAGCAAUGCCGCGUGUAUGAUGAAGGCCCUCGGGUCGUAAAGUACUGUCUCCCGUGACGAAAUUUGACGGUAGCGGGGAAGGAAGCCACGGCUAAACUACGUGCC
RNAcentral lists this ribosomal RNA (484 nucleotides) under uncultured bacterium. RNAcentral describes it as "bacterial SSU rRNA". It matches the Rfam family "Bacterial small subunit ribosomal RNA", at positions 1 to 509 of the family's 1533-position model. The record is from RNAcentral.